Molecule: long non-coding RNA, 4049 nt
Filed under: Homo sapiens (human)
Lineage: Eukaryota; Metazoa; Chordata; Mammalia; Primates; Hominidae
Description: long non-coding RNA NONHSAT212998.1
Source: RNAcentral
GAUAUUAAGUCCGUUAUCAAUAGAGUGUGAAAUAAUCACUCCUGUGAAAGGCGGAGACUUAAUUCUCUAGCCUUGUGAAGUCAUGGGCGGUAACUACCAGCACCCACUUCUCCUUCAUCCUGAAAGCUUGUAGGUAGGAAAGUCUCUCUCUCCUUGACUGUUAUCUCAAGAAGAGUGUCACAUCUUUGUGGAGUCAAACUUUCACCAUGGCAUACACACCAUGAUUGUGGAGGAAAGAAUUGUGGAAAACUUGAAAAAAGUAUUUUGAAUAUGGCAUUUACAAAGUUAGGAGUAUUUGACACAGCAGGCAUGUGGGGAAAAAAAGAAAAGAUUAAAAAAAAAAAACAGAAUUAGGAUUAAAGGUCUCCAUGAAUGUUUUCCUAAACCAGUUGGUGGCGGUGAAUGGAUAAAGACAGUCUCCCCCUACCCUGUUUUAUUAAUAUGUGAAUAUUACCAAGUAAAAGGACACAUUCAAAAGAUCAGACUGUGGAUGGUUUCUUGAAGCAAAAGUUUGUUAAAGCAAAAUGGCAUUUUGGUUAGGAAUUCCUUUUCAGAAUCCAGUUGUAUCAGAGAACGUGAUUAAAUACCAUUUGCAGCUGGGUGCGAUGGCUCAUGCCUGUAAUACCAGCACUUUGGGAGGCUGAGACGGGUGGAUCACUUGAGGUCAGGAGUUUGAGACCAGCCUGACCAACAUGGUGAAACCUUGUCUCUACUAAAAAUACAGAAACAGCCGAGCGUGGUGGCACAUGGUAAUCCCGGCGGCGGAGGUUGCAGUGAGCCAAGAUAGCCCCACUGCACUCCAGCCUGGGCCAGAGCGAGACUCUGUCUCCAAAAAAAUAAAUACCAUUUGCUUGCCUGAUCUAAUUACAGACAUGUAAAUCAGAAUUCUUUGGUUAAUAUCAAAAUUUAAAAAUAAAACUGUCUAAUAGAGCCUAAUCUUCCUCUUAAACUAAGCAGCGUAGCGUCUCGUAUUCUUUUGUUGUGAUUAUAAACAGUUUCUUUUACCUUGAGGAAUCAAGUUUCAGAUAGGACUUUUUAUAAAUAAACUUGUUAGAUUUUUAUGUAAUUCCGUAGUUACUUUUUUUUUUCUUUUUUUUUUCUGAGAUGGAGUCUCGUUCUAUCACCCAGGCUGGAGUGCAGUGGCAUGAUUUCGGCUCACUGCAACUUCUGCCUCCCAGGUUCAAGUGAUUCUCCUGCCUCAGGCCUCCAAGUAGCUGAGACUACAGGUGCGCGCCACCACGCCCAGCUGAUUUUUGUAUUUUUAGUAGAGACGGGGUUCCACCAUGUAGGUCAGGCUGGUCUCGAACUCCUGACCUCAGGCGAUCUGCCGGCCUUGGCCUCCCAAAGUACUGGGAUUACAGGUGUGAGCCCCUGCAGCAGCCACUUUCAAAUUUAACUUUAAAAAUACAGUUUUCAUUGUAUUUAAUUUGGGGGGAUGCCUUCUGUUUGUGACCAGUGAUGCUGUUUUUCUGUUUAGUGAUGAAAGAUUUCCCCUUAAGAUAAAUAUAUUUAGGUUAAAAAGAGUCUUUUUGGCAAGACUAACACAAUAGUUGAUUGUAUCAUUUGUAUGGUACCAAGUAGUAGUUCAUUAUGCCGUUAUGUUUUAUUACUGAGCCAGUUGAUGUCUUAGUUGGUGUCUGCAAAAUUUCUCCCCUUUAAAUUUUCUGUCUUUCCCUUGUUAAUUGAUCUAUAUCUUGAGAGAUACUUUGAGACUAGGCAAAUCCUGUUUCUCCUCAAACUUUUGCCCACUAAUUUUAGCAUACAUUAGUAGAUCUUGUCUGCAGUGUUUUUCUGUUUUCUGCUUUUCUCUUUCCUUCUACAUUUUUAAACUGGAUUCUGUGAGGAAAAGAGUUUUCUUUUCCUUGUUUAUUGAUUUGGUUAUUUAUGUAAGUAUUGAGUCCAUGAUGCGUGUUUGUGCGUAUAAUCCUAUGGAUUAAAAUCUAAUGCUAUCCUUAUUUCGUAACCUUACUGUAAUCAUGAGAGUAUUGGAAAAACCCAAAUUGAGGGACAGCAUCCAGGACAUGAAAGAUGAAGAUAAGAACUCUAUAAGAUUGGAGGAAGAUUAAGAAGAAAUAGUACCUAAAUAUAAUGUGGGGUCCUGGAUAGGAUUCUAGAACAGAUAAACAGCAUCAGUGGGAAAAUUGGUGGAUUUCUAAUUAAGUUUGUAGAUUAGUUAAUGUUAUUGUAUCAGUGUUAAUUUCCUGUGGAUAAUUGUAUCUGCUUAAUGUAGAAGUGAGUAAGACAUAUGGGAUAAGGGAAAUUGUACCAUUUUUGUAGCUUUUCUUUGUCUAAAAUUAGUUUCUAAAAGUUUAAAAAGACCUCUGGGAAACCAUUUAACUUCUUGUGCCUCAGAUUCUCUCAUCUGAUUAAGUCAAGACAGCUUGUUUGGAUGAUCUUUAGGAUCUUUUUUUGGGUGAAAACAUUCUGUAAUUUUUGUAUGGGAGUUUUAAAAUUGAAAUUAUAACCUUACCUCCUUUUUUCUCUGUUUGGGUGUAGGAGGAAAAGGCUUCUCUUUUACAUCGUACUCAGGAAGAAAGAAGAAAGAGAGUAUAAAAUAGAUUUGUGUAGCCUUUGAUUUUAAAAAAUUCGUUAAUAGGCUGGGAGCAGUGGCUCAUACCUGUAAUCUCAGCACUUGGGAAGGCUGAGGCAGCUGGAUCAUUUGAAAUCAUAAGACACCUAGUUUUAUUUCAACAUAUGCUUGAUUUUUCCACCAAAAAGUAGUACAGUGAAGCAGCUUAAUUAUGUCUUGUGUUGUUAAUCAUUGUGAUUUAGAUAAACAGCGGUGCGCCUCGAAGCGCAGUGCUUCUUUUCUGUGCACGCGCGUGUGUAUGUGUGUGUGUAGUGUUUGUUGGUUUUGUCUUUAUUUUUGUUUUUGUUUUCUGAAACAAGGUCUCACUUUGUCACCCAGGCUGGAGUGCCGUGGCGUGAUCUCAGCUCACUGAAACCCCGCCUCCCAGGCUCAGGUGAUCCUCCUACCUCAGCACCCUUGAGUAGCUGGGACGAUAGGCGUGCCACCACACCUGGCUAAUUUUUUGUAAUUUUUGUAGAAACGGGGUUUUGCCAUGUUGCCUAGGCUGGUCUCGAACACCUGGGCCCAAGUAAUCUGCUUGUCUCAGCCCUCAGCCUCCCAGAGUGCUGGGAUUGCAGGUGCAAGUCACUGCGCCCAGCCCCUCGUGUGUUUUCUAACCAUUUCUUUGCCAUGUGUUUUCUAAGAACUGUGGUGUAUGUGGUGGGGAUGAAUGCUCUUUAGCUCUGAGAGAUUUAUAGCUUCAUAUCUUAUACUUUAAUAAUUUGGGAUAAAAUGAUUACACAGAUGACUUCAAAGCAGAAAAAUACAGAUUUGUUUUUCAUUGUAUGUGUAGAAUUAAAUAUAUAUACCGUCCAUGUGUUUGUAAACAAGUUUUUAUAAUAUUUUGGAAAAAAUAUUGAGGAUGUGCCUGGAGAGAGAAGUAAAUUUUGUCUAUAAUUUCAUAGCUGCUUUUAUUAUCAGUGAUAUUUUCAUUAUAAUCAAUAGAAUUAAUAAGCUAUUGAUUCAUGUUAAAAAUUGCAUUCUCUUUCAUGAAGUUCAAAUAACAUUGAUGAGCUUUUAAACAUUUCAGCACAUAGUGAUCUUAAAAUUAAAUGUAUUUUGAAAUCCUAUCUAGAUUAUAAACUAAUUUCCACUAGCUGUUGUUAGACACAUCAAAUAAAUAAAAUAGACUUGCCUUCGUCAGCUUCAGCAAUAUCAUUCAUAGUUCUGAAUCUUCUAAGAAUUCUUAGAACAUUUGUGAAUGAUAAUUGUUUCCCGGGAAAUAUGAGUACACUUGGAAGAAGCAUAUUCCACCAAAGUGAUUCUAAAUCCCUACCACGUUUUUAAAGUUUUCUUUUAAGCUUGUUAAGAAAUAGUAAGAGAAGGGGCUUCCUUUUCGAUCCGCCAUCUGCGGUGGAGCCGCCACCAAAAUGCAGAUUUCCAUAAAAACCCUUACGGGGAAGACCAUCACCCUCAAGGUUGAACCCUUGGAUAUGAUAGAAAAUGUAAAGGCCAAGAUCCAGGAUAAGGAAGGAAUUCC